Molecule: ribosomal RNA, 254 nt
Filed under: uncultured bacterium
Lineage: Bacteria
Description: partial 16S ribosomal RNA
Rfam family: Bacterial small subunit ribosomal RNA
Source: RNAcentral
UACGAAGGGGACUAGCGUUGUUCGGAAUUACUGGGCGUAAAGCGCACGUAGGCGGAUUUGUAAGUCAGGGGUGAAAUCCCGGGGCUCAACCUCGGAACUGCCUUUGAUACUGCAAAUCUCGAGUCCGAUAGAGGUGGGUGGAAUUCCUAGUGUAGAGGUGAAAUUCGUAGAUAUUAGGAAGAACACCGGUGGCGAAGGCGGCUAUCUGGACGACAACUGACGCUGAGGCGCGAAAGCGUGGGGAUCAAACAGGG